AAAUUGAAGAGUUUGAUCAUGGCUCAGAUUGAACGCUGGCGGCAGGCCUAACACAUGCAAGUCGAACGGUAACAGGAAUCAGCUUGCUGAUUUGCUGACGAGUGGCGGACGGGUGAGUAA
This 120-nucleotide ribosomal RNA is filed under the name Escherichia coli. RNAcentral describes it as "partial 16S ribosomal RNA". It matches the Rfam family "Bacterial small subunit ribosomal RNA", at positions 1 to 113 of the family's 1533-position model. The record is from RNAcentral. Lineage: Bacteria; Pseudomonadati; Pseudomonadota; Gammaproteobacteria; Enterobacterales; Enterobacteriaceae.